AUACGUAGGGAGCGAGCGUUGUCCGGAAUUACUGGGUGUAAAGGGUGCGUAGGCGGGGAUGCAAGUCAUAUGUGAAAUACCGGGGCUUAACUCCGGAGCUGCAUAAGAAACUGGAUAUCUUGAGUGCAGGAGAGGGAAGCGGAAUUCCUAGUGUAGCGGUGAAAUGCGUAGAUAUUAGGAGGAACACCAGUGGCGAAGGCGGCUUACUGGACUGAAACUGACGCUGAGGCACGAAAGCGUGGGGAGCAAACAGGAUUAGAUACCCUGGUAGUCCACGCUGUAAACGAUGGAUACUAGGUGUAGGAGGUAUCGACCCCUUCUGUGCCGCAGUCAACACAAUAAGUAUCCCACCUGGGGAGUACGACCGCAAGGUUGAAACUCAAAUGAAUUGACGGGG
This 397-nucleotide ribosomal RNA is filed under the name uncultured bacterium. RNAcentral describes it as "partial 16S ribosomal RNA". It matches the Rfam family "Bacterial small subunit ribosomal RNA", at positions 523 to 918 of the family's 1533-position model. The record is from RNAcentral.